GACGAACGCUGGCGGCGUGCCUAAUACAUGCAAGUUGAGCGCUGAAGGUUGGUACUUGUACCAACUGGAUGAGCAGCGAACGGGUGAGUAACGCGUGGGGAAUCUGCCUUUGAGCGGGGGACAACAUUUGGAAACGAAUGCUAAUACCGCAUAAAAACUUUAAACACAAGUUUUAAGUUUGAAAGAUGCAAUUGCAUCACUCAAAGAUGAUCCCGCGUUGUAUUAGCUAGUUGGUGAGGUAAAGGCUCACCAAGGCGAUGAUACAUAGCCGACCUGAGAGGGUGAUCGGCCACAUUGGGACUGAGACACGGCCCAAACUCCUACGGGAGGCAGCAGUAGGGAAUCUUCGGCAAUAGACGAAAGUCUGACCGAGCAACGCCGCGUGAGUGAAGAAGGUUUUCGGAUCGUAAAACUCUGUUGGUAGAGACGAACGUUGGUGAGAGUGGAAAGCUCAUCAAGUGACGGUAACUACCCAGAAAGGGACGGCUAACUACGUG
RNAcentral lists this ribosomal RNA (497 nucleotides) under uncultured bacterium. Its description in RNAcentral is "partial 16S ribosomal RNA". It matches the Rfam family "Bacterial small subunit ribosomal RNA", at positions 28 to 507 of the family's 1533-position model. The record is from RNAcentral.